RNAcentral lists this transfer RNA (72 nucleotides) under Mesocricetus auratus (golden hamster). It matches the Rfam family "tRNA". From Rfam's summary of the family: Transfer RNA (tRNA) molecules are approximately 80 nucleotides in length. The record is from Rfam by way of RNAcentral. Lineage: Eukaryota; Metazoa; Chordata; Mammalia; Rodentia; Cricetidae.
GGAGAGAUGGCUCAGAGGUUUAGAGCACUGGACUGAUCUUCCAGAUGUCCUGAGUUCAACUGUGCUUCUCUG